This 258-nucleotide ribosomal RNA is filed under the name uncultured bacterium. RNAcentral's name for it is "partial 16S ribosomal RNA". It matches the Rfam family "Bacterial small subunit ribosomal RNA", at positions 793 to 1055 of the family's 1533-position model. The record is from RNAcentral.
GUCCACGCCGUAAACUAUGGACACUAGGUAUGGGGUAUCGACCCCCCGUGCCGAAGUUAACGCUAUAAGUGUCCCGCCUGGGGAGUACGGCCGCAAGGCUAAAACUCAAAGGAAUUGACGGGGCCCGCACAAGCAGCGGAGCGUGUGGUUUAAUUCGACGCAACGCGAAGAACCUUACCAAGACUUGACAUGCACCUGAAAGGCAGAGAAGUCUGCCCCUCCUUCGGGACGGGUGCACAGAUGCUGCAUGGCUGUCGU